Molecule: ribosomal RNA, 497 nt
Filed under: uncultured bacterium
Lineage: Bacteria
Description: partial 16S ribosomal RNA
Rfam family: Bacterial small subunit ribosomal RNA
Source: RNAcentral
GAUGAACGCUGGCGGCGUGCCUAAUACAUGCAAGUCGAGCGAACGGACGAGAAGCUUGCUUCUCUGAUGUUAGCGGCGGACGGGUGAGUAACACGUGGAUAACCUACCUAUAAGACUGGGAUAACUUCGGGAAACCGGAGCUAAUACCGGAUAAUAUUUUGAACCGCAUGGUUCAAAAGCGAAAGACGGUCUUGCUGUCACUUAUAGAUGGAUCCGCGCUGCAUUAGCUAGUUGGUAAGGUAACGGCUUACCAAGGCAACGAUGUAUAGCCGACCUGAGAGGGUGAUCGGCCACACUGGAACUGAGACACGGUCCAGACUCCUACGGGAGGCAGCAGUAGGGAAUCUUCCGCAAUGGGCGAAAGCCUGACGGAGCAACGCCGCGUGAGUGAUGAAGGUCUUCGGAUCGUAAAACUCUGUUAUUAGGGAAGAACAUAUGUGUAAGUAACUGUGCACAUCUUGACGGUACCUAAUCAGAAAGCCACGGCUAACUACGUG